Molecule: ribosomal RNA, 2909 nt
Filed under: Escherichia coli
Lineage: Bacteria; Pseudomonadati; Pseudomonadota; Gammaproteobacteria; Enterobacterales; Enterobacteriaceae
Also listed under: 1 other name
Description: partial 23S ribosomal RNA
Rfam family: Bacterial large subunit ribosomal RNA
Source: RNAcentral
CGACUAAGCGUACACGGUGGAUGCCCUGGCAGUCAGAGGCGAUGAAGGACGUGCUAAUCUGCGAUAAGCGUCGGUAAGGUGAUAUGAACCGUUAUAACCGGCGAUUUCCGAAUGGGGAAACCCAGUGUGAUUCGUCACACUAUCAUUAACUGAAUCCAUAGGUUAAUGAGGCGAACCGGGGGAACUGAAACAUCUAAGUACCCCGAGGAAAAGAAAUCAACCGAGAUUCCCCCAGUAGCGGCGAGCGAACGGGGAGCAGCCCAGAGCCUGAAUCAGUGUGUGUGUUAGUGGAAGCGUCUGGAAAGGCGUGCGAUACAGGGUGACAGCCCCGUACACAAAAAUGCACAUACUGUGAGCUCGAUGAGUAGGGCGGGACACGUGGUAUCCUGUCUGAAUAUGGGGGGACCAUCCUCCAAGGCUAAAUACUCCUGACUGACCGAUAGUGAACCAGUACCGUGAGGGAAAGGCGAAAAGAACCCCGGCGAGGGGAGUGAAAAAGAACCUGAAACCGUGUACGUACAAGCAGUGGGAGCACGCUUAGGCGUGUGACUGCGUACCUUUUGUAUAAUGGGUCAGCGACUUAUAUUCUGUAGCAAGGUUAACCGAAUAGGGGAGCCGAAGGGAAACCGAGUCUUAACUGGGCGUUAAGUUGCAGGGUAUAGACCCGAAACCCGGUGAUCUAGCCAUGGGCAGGUUGAAGGUUGGGUAACACUAACUGGAGGACCGAACCGACUAAUGUUGAAAAAUUAGCGGAUGACUUGUGGCUGGGGGUGAAAGGCCAAUCAAACCGGGAGAUAGCUGGUUCUCCCCGAAAGCUAUUUAGGUAGCGCCUCGUGAAUUCAUCUCCGGGGGUAGAGCACUGUUUCGGCAAGGGGGUCAUCCCGACUUACCAACCCGAUGCAAACUGCGAAUACCGGAGAAUGUUAUUACGGGAGACACACGGCGGGUGCUAACGUCCGUCGUGAAGAGGGAAACAACCCAGACCGCCAGCUAAGGUCCCAAAGUCAUGGUUAAGUGGGAAACGAUGUGGGAAGGCCCAGACAGCCAGGAUGUUGGCUUAGAAGCAGCCAUCAUUUAAAGAAAGCGUAAUAGCUCACUGGUCGAGUCGGCCUGCGCGGAAGAUGUAACGGGGCUAAACCAUGCACCGAAGCUGCGGCAGCGACGCUUAUGCGUUGUUGGGUAGGGGAGCGUUCUGUAAGCCUGUGAAGGUGUGCUGUGAGGUAUGCUGGAGGUAUCAGAAGUGCGAAUGCUGACAUAAGUAACGAUAAAGCGGGUGAAAAGCCCGCUCGCCGGAAGACCAAGGGUUCCUGUCCAACGUUAAUCGGGGCAGGGUGAGUCGACCCCUAAGGCGAGGCCGAAAGGCGUAGUCGAUGGGAAACAGGUUAAUAUUCCUGUACUUGGUGUUACUGCGAAGGGGGGACGGAGAAGGCUAUGUUGGCCGGGCGACGGUUGUCCCGGUUUAAGCGUGUAGGCUGGUUUUCCAGGCAAAUCCGGAAAAUCAAGGCCGAGGCGUGAUGACGAGGCACUACGGUGCUGAAGCAACAAAUGCCCUGCUUCCAGGAAAAGCCUCUAAGCAUCAGGUAACAUCAAAUCGUACCCCAAACCGACACAGGUGGUCAGGUAGAGAAUACCAAGGCGCUUGAGAGAACUCGGGUGAAGGAACUAGGCAAAAUGGUGCCGUAACUUCGGGAGAAGGCACGCUGAUACGUAGGUGAAGCGACUUGCUCGUGGAGCUGAAAUCAGUCGAAGAUACCAGCUGGCUGCAACUGUUUAUUAAAAACACAGCACUGUGCAAACACGAAAGUGGACGUAUACGGUGUGACGCCUGCCCGGUGCCGGAAGGUUAAUUGAUGGGGUUAGCGCAAGCGAAGCUCUUGAUCGAAGCCCCGGUAAACGGCGGCCGUAACUAUAACGGUCCUAAGGUAGCGAAAUUCCUUGUCGGGUAAGUUCCGACCUGCACGAAUGGCGUAAUGAUGGCCAGGCUGUCUCCACCCGAGACUCAGUGAAAUUGAACUCGCUGUGAAGAUGCAGUGUACCCGCGGCAAGACGGAAAGACCCCGUGAACCUUUACUAUAGCUUGACACUGAACAUUGAGCCUUGAUGUGUAGGAUAGGUGGGAGGCUUUGAAGUGUGGACGCCAGUCUGCAUGGAGCCGACCUUGAAAUACCACCCUUUAAUGUUUGAUGUUCUAACGUGGACCCGUGAUCCGGGUUGCGGACAGUGUCUGGUGGGUAGUUUGACUGGGGCGGUCUCCUCCUAAAGAGUAACGGAGGAGCACGAAGGUUGGCUAAUCCUGGUCGGACAUCAGGAGGUUAGUGCAAUGGCAUAAGCCAGCUUGACUGCGAGCGUGACGGCGCGAGCAGGUGCGAAAGCAGGUCAUAGUGAUCCGGUGGUUCUGAAUGGAAGGGCCAUCGCUCAACGGAUAAAAGGUACUCCGGGGAUAACAGGCUGAUACCGCCCAAGAGUUCAUAUCGACGGCGGUGUUUGGCACCUCGAUGUCGGCUCAUCACAUCCUGGGGCUGAAGUAGGUCCCAAGGGUAUGGCUGUUCGCCAUUUAAAGUGGUACGCGAGCUGGGUUUAGAACGUCGUGAGACAGUUCGGUCCCUAUCUGCCGUGGGCGCUGGAGAACUGAGGGGGGCUGCUCCUAGUACGAGAGGACCGGAGUGGACGCAUCACUGGUGUUCGGGUUGUCAUGCCAAUGGCACUGCCCGGUAGCUAAAUGCGGAAGAGAUAAGUGCUGAAAGCAUCUAAGCACGAAACUUGCCCCGAGAUGAGUUCUCCCUGACCCUUUAAGGGUCCUGAAGGAACGUUGAAGACGACGACGUUGAUAGGCCGGGUGUGUAAGCGCAGCGAUGCGUUGAGCUAACCGGUACUAAUGAACCGUGAGGCUUAACCUUACAACGCCGAAG